Molecule: long non-coding RNA, 827 nt
Organism: Meriones unguiculatus (Mongolian gerbil)
Lineage: Eukaryota; Metazoa; Chordata; Mammalia; Rodentia; Muridae
Exons: 3
Source: RefSeq, a predicted model, not a curated record
GGAAAAUGGAGCAAGAUGUCAUCGUGUCAGACCCUGAGUCCAUUUGCACCUGUGAUAGCUUGUCGCAAAUGUCAAGCGGAUUGGAUUAGUGAGCACCUGUGGCAUGAAUGAGGUGGGAGACCUACUCUAAAUCCAGGUCAUUGAGGUCAGAAGAUCCAUCCGAAAUCCGGGCCACACUUCUGGAGGCAGCCCACAUAAAAGGAAGAGGGAAGACUUCGCUUUUCAGUCUGCUCUCCUCACUCAGACAAGUUCAUCUAUCCUACGACUGAGCCAUUCCUGCGCUUGUGUUAGAACCUCCUUCCUCGAGAUUCCAACAUGGACUGAAAACUGGCAACUCUCUAGGACCUUCCUGGAACUCUAGGACCAGAUUGGGGCCACUGAGACAAACAGCCUCAGAAUGACGAACCACCAGCUCCUUGCCCUUCCCGUCCGGAGACAGCCAUUGCUGGACUGCACAGACCACAAACCCUAGUAUAGAGCUACUAACAAAUCCCAUAGAGCCACGACUAAUACAUGAUCUGAGAAACAGAAAAGGCCAACAAGAUGGCUCCAUGAGUGAAGGUGCGCCUGAGGUCCAUCCCAAGAGCCCGUAGAGUGGACGGCGAGAACUGAUUCCCACGAGCCGUCUCCUGACUGCCAGUGCACAUGAGCACAGUAAUUGAGUGACUGAUUUAAAAUAUAAAACAAGAACAACCGAAAGCCAAUCUGUUGAACAAAUCCAGUGAAUCUGUAAACGGUGAAGGACAUAAUGACCGGACAGCUGCCCUGAGUUUCUUUGUGCUUACAAUAUGCCAGGGCCCCACAAAAGGCACUUUUUUAUCUUCCUU